AAGAGAGAUGAUGAUGAUGAUGAUGAUGAUGAUGAUGUAAUGAUUUGAUUCUUCUUCUUCUUAUUAUUAUUACUACUCCUCCAUCAUCAAUAUCAUCAUCAUCAUCAUCAAAUAAA
Molecule: microRNA precursor, 116 nt
Filed under: Bigelowiella natans CCMP2755
Lineage: Eukaryota; Cercozoa; Chlorarachniophyceae
Description: miRNA EPrBNAG00000013594
Source: RNAcentral